Molecule: ribosomal RNA, 440 nt
Filed under: uncultured bacterium
Lineage: Bacteria
Description: partial 16S ribosomal RNA
Rfam family: Bacterial small subunit ribosomal RNA
Source: RNAcentral
CCUACGGGGGGCAGCAGUGGGGAAUAUUGCACACUGUGGGAAACCCUGAUGCCGCGACGCCGCGUGAGUGAAGCAGUAUUUCGGUACGUAAAGCUCUAUCAGCAGGGAAGAAAAUGACGGUACCUGACUAAGAAGCCCCGGCUAACUACGUGCCAGCAGCCGCGGUAAUACGUAGGGGGCAAGCGUGAUCCGGAUUUACUGGGUGUAAAGGGAGCGUAGACGGCAGCGCAAGUCUGGAGUGAAAUCCCAUGGCUUAACCAUGGAACUGCUUUGGAAACUGUGCAGCUAGAGUGCAGGAGAGGUGAGCGGAAUUCCUAGUGUAGCGGUGAAAUGCGUAGAUAUUAGGAGGAACACCAGUGGCGAAGGCGGCUUACUGGACUGUAACUGACGUGGAGGCUCGAAAGCGUGGGGAGCAAACAGGAUUAGAUACCCUGGUAGUC